Molecule: transfer RNA, 85 nt
Filed under: Candidatus Omnitrophota bacterium
Lineage: Bacteria; Pseudomonadati; Candidatus Omnitrophota
Description: tRNA-Tyr
Rfam family: tRNA
About the family: Transfer RNA (tRNA) molecules are approximately 80 nucleotides in length. Their secondary structure includes four short double-helical elements and three loops (D, anti-codon, and T loops). Further hydrogen bonds mediate the characteristic L-shaped molecular structure. tRNAs have two regions of fundamental functional importance: the anti-codon, which is responsible for specific mRNA codon recognition, and the 3' end, to which the tRNAs corresponding amino acid is attached (by aminoacyl-tRNA synthetases). tRNAs cope with the degeneracy of the genetic code in two manners: having more than one tRNA (with a specific anti-codon) for a particular amino acid; and 'wobble' base-pairing, i.e. permitting non-standard base-pairing at the 3rd anti-codon position.
Source: RNAcentral
GGGCAGGUACUCAAGUGGUCAACGAGGUCAGACUGUAAAUCUGAUGCGGAUCGCUUCGGGGGUUCGAAUCCUCCCCUGCCCACCA